UGUUAAAAAUUUCAUUUAAUUCUACUGUUAAAAAACGGCGUAGUUGACGUAAUAAAUAAAUAAUUGCACGCUACACGCCAUGUGCACCUCAUAUUGAUGUACAGUGACCAAUUUUUAAUAGUAAAAAUUGAUGAAAUUUUUAACA
This is a non-coding RNA of Gossypium hirsutum (cotton), 145 nucleotides long. Lineage: Eukaryota; Viridiplantae; Streptophyta; Magnoliopsida; Malvales; Malvaceae. The record is from Rfam.